UACAGAGGUCCCAAGCGUUGUUCGGAUUCACUGGGCGUAAAGGGUGCGUAGGCGGUCGGGUAAGUCUGACGUGAAAUCUUCAAGCUCAACUUGGAAACUGCGUCGGAUACUAUUCGGCUAGAGGAAUGGAGGGGAGACUGGAAUACUUGGUGUAGCAGUGAAAUGCGUAGAUAUCAAGUGGAACACCAGUGGCGAAGGCGGCUAUCUGGACGGUUUCUGACACUAAGACUCGAAAGCGUGGGGAGCAAACAGG
Molecule: ribosomal RNA, 253 nt
Filed under: uncultured bacterium
Lineage: Bacteria
Description: partial 16S ribosomal RNA
Rfam family: Bacterial small subunit ribosomal RNA
Source: RNAcentral